This 253-nucleotide ribosomal RNA is filed under the name uncultured bacterium. RNAcentral's name for it is "partial 16S ribosomal RNA". It matches the Rfam family "Bacterial small subunit ribosomal RNA", at positions 524 to 776 of the family's 1533-position model. The record is from RNAcentral.
GACAGAGGGUGCAAACGUUGCUCGGAAUCACUGGGCGUAAAGGGCGUGUAGGCGGAUAGAUAAGUCGGGCGUGAAAUCCCCAGGCUCAACCUGGGAACUGCACUCGAAACUGUUUAUCUUGAGUGCCGGAGAGGAAAGCGGAAUUCCUGGUGUAGAGGUGAAAUUCGUAGAUAUCAGGAGGAACACCAGUGGCGAAGGCGGCUUUCUGGACGGUAACUGACGCUCAUGCACGAAAGCGUGGGGAGCAAACAGG